This 484-nucleotide ribosomal RNA is filed under the name uncultured bacterium. RNAcentral describes it as "partial 16S ribosomal RNA". It matches the Rfam family "Bacterial small subunit ribosomal RNA", at positions 28 to 507 of the family's 1533-position model. The record is from RNAcentral.
GAUUAACGCUAGCGGCAGGCCUAAUACAUGCAAGUUGAACGGCAGCACAGGUAGCAAUACUGGGUGGCGAGUGGCGCACGGGUGCGUAACACGUAUGCAACCUACCCUAUACAGGCGAAUAACCUUUAGAAAUGAGGGCUAAUACGCCGUAGUAUUACAGAUGGGCAUCUAUUUGUACUUAAAGAUUUAUCGGUAUAGGAUGGGCAUGCGUCCCAUUAGUUAGUUGGUAAGGUAACGGCUUACCAAGACGAGGAUGGGUAGGGGAUCUGAGAGGACUUACCCCCACACUGAGACUGGGACACGGACCAGACUCCUACGGGAGGCAGCAGUAAGGAAUAUUGGGCAAUGGCCGCGAGGCUGACCCAGCCAUGCCGCGUGCAGGAAGACGGCCUUAUGGGUUGUAAACUGCUUUUAUACGGGAAUAAUAGAGUGUACGCGUACAUUUAUGCAAGUAUCGUAUGAAUAAGCAUCGGCUAACUCCGUG